Molecule: microRNA precursor, 100 nt
Filed under: Poecilia formosa (Amazon molly)
Lineage: Eukaryota; Metazoa; Chordata; Actinopteri; Cyprinodontiformes; Poeciliidae
Description: Danio rerio miR-181a-2 stem-loop (ENSPFOG00000021636.1)
Rfam family: mir-181 microRNA precursor family (bases 10-91)
About the family: In this case the mature sequence comes from the 5' arm of the precursor.
Source: RNAcentral
CUACUUUAGUGCCCACAGGGAACAUUCAACGCUGUCGGUGAGUUUGUGCUCUAAGGAAAACCAUCGACCGUUGACUGUACCUUGAGGGACACCUCAGCAC